UACGUAGGGUGCGAGCGUUAAUCGGAAUUACUGGGCGUAAAGCGUGCGCAGGCGGUUCGUUGUGUCGGCGGUGAAAGCCCCGGUCUCAACCUGGGAAUGGCCGUUGAAACUGGCGAACUGGAGUGUGGCAGAGGGGGGUGGAAUUCCGCGUGUAGCAGUGAAAUGCGUAGAUAUGCGGAGGAACACCGAUGGCGAAGGCAAUCCCCUGGGCCUGCACUGACGCUCAUGCACGAAAGCGUGGGGAGCAAACAGG
Molecule: ribosomal RNA, 253 nt
Filed under: uncultured bacterium
Lineage: Bacteria
Description: partial 16S ribosomal RNA
Rfam family: Bacterial small subunit ribosomal RNA
Source: RNAcentral